UACGUAGGGGGCAAGCGUUGUCCGGAUUUAUUGGGCGUAAAGAGCUCGUAGGUGGUUUGGUUAGUCGGAUGUGAAAUCUCCAGGCUCAACCUGGAGGGGUCAUUCGAUACUGCCAUGACUAGAGGUCGGUAGGGGAGUGUGGAAUUCCUGGUGGAGCGGUGAAAUGCGCAGAUAUCAGGAGGAACACCCGUAGCGAAGGCGGCACUCUGGGCCGAUACUGACACUGAGGAGCGAAAGCGUGGGGAGCGAACAGG
Molecule: ribosomal RNA, 254 nt
Filed under: uncultured bacterium
Lineage: Bacteria
Description: partial 16S ribosomal RNA
Rfam family: Bacterial small subunit ribosomal RNA
Source: RNAcentral